This 86-nucleotide transfer RNA is filed under the name Xenopus tropicalis (tropical clawed frog). RNAcentral describes it as "Xenopus (Silurana) tropicalis (western clawed frog) tRNA". It matches the Rfam family "tRNA". From Rfam's summary of the family: Transfer RNA (tRNA) molecules are approximately 80 nucleotides in length. Their secondary structure includes four short double-helical elements and three loops (D, anti-codon, and T loops). Lineage: Eukaryota; Metazoa; Chordata; Amphibia; Anura; Pipidae. The record is from Rfam by way of RNAcentral.
GGCUCUGUGGCGCAAUAGUUAGCGCAUUGGACUUCUAGAUAAAUAAAGGUAUUCAAAGGUUGUGGGUUCGAGUCCCACCAGAGUUG